Molecule: ribosomal RNA, 406 nt
Filed under: uncultured bacterium
Lineage: Bacteria
Description: partial 16S ribosomal RNA
Rfam family: Bacterial small subunit ribosomal RNA
Source: RNAcentral
AUUGAACGCUGGCGGCAGGCCUAACACAUGCAAGUCGAGCGAGCGGCGGACGGGUGAGUAAUGUCUGGGAAACUGCCUGAUGGAGGGGGAUAACUACUGGAAACGGUAGCUAAUACCGCAUACCAUCAGAUGUGCCCAGGUGGGAUUAGCUAGUAGGUGGGGUAACGGCUCACCUAGGCGACGGUCCCUAGCUGGUCUUAGAGGAUGACCAGCCACCCUGGAAGUGAGACAGGGUCCAGACUCCUACGGGAGGCAGCAGUGGGGAAUAUUGCACAAUGGGCGCAAGCCUGAUGCAGCCAUGCAGCGUGUGUGAAGAAGGCCUUCGGGUUGUAAAGUAAUUUCAGAGGGGAGGCGUUACCCGCAGAAGAAGCACCGGCUAACUCCGUGCCAGCAGCCGCGGUAAUUC